UUCUGAAAGCUAACAUUACAAUUUAAAGGAAAAAUGUAAACUACUUCUAAUAAAAUAACUGCAAAUGAAACGUGGCCUAAUAACCGUAAAUGGAAACGUGGGCAUCCCCAUUAUCUCCUUUAUUUCCGCGCAACUACGUCUAAGACUAUUUCAAAGAAAGAGCACAACUACUUCUAAGACUAUUUUAAAGAAAGAAAUCCACCACCCAUUAGUUAGCAUCAUAACAAUCCACCCAACUUGAAAUCACCUUGUCCUCAAGGUGAAACUGAGGGUAAGUACGGGAAAAACGCCAUUUAUCUUCCCAUGUUGCAUCUUCCCUUGAUUGACCAACCCAUUUAACCAAAAUCUCUGUUUUUGGCCGAUAUUUCCCUUUCUGCACGACUCGUUCUUCCAAGAUACCCUCUGGUUGAGGUGCCACCUGUAACUGGACAGGUUCGUUGACAGGAGGUGGGAUCGGUUCCGGGACAGGGCCUUCUCUUUUCCGUAACAAACUCACAUGAAACACAUCGUGAAUUAAGGAACCAGGAGGUAAUUCAAUCCGAUAUGCAACCUUUCC
RNAcentral lists this long non-coding RNA (556 nucleotides) under Capsicum annuum. Its description in RNAcentral is "long non-coding RNA (CANN_LNC002446)". Lineage: Eukaryota; Viridiplantae; Streptophyta; Magnoliopsida; Solanales; Solanaceae. The record is from RNAcentral.